CUACUAGAGGGGAGCUAAUCGGUCUCAAAUGACCGUCAAGGAUGGACAUUCUUGAAAAGACGUCGUAGAACAAGAUGUCGGCUGAGCUUCCAUUGUCGACAAGAAUGCGACGGACGUCGUAAUUUGCUAUAUUCAUGGAAACUACGAUCGCAUCGUUAUGAGGGAAUUGGACUCUCGGAGCGUCUUCUUCAGUAAAGAUUAUGGGCU
Molecule: long non-coding RNA, 207 nt
Filed under: Elaeis guineensis (African oil palm)
Lineage: Eukaryota; Viridiplantae; Streptophyta; Magnoliopsida; Arecales; Arecaceae
Description: long non-coding RNA (EGUI_LNC013694)
Source: RNAcentral